UGGGGAAUAUUGCACAAUGGGGGAAACCCUGAUGCAGCGACGCCGCGUGAGCGAUGAAGGCUUUCGAGUCGUAAAGCUCUGUCCUAUGGGAAGAUAAUGACGGUACCAUAAGAAAAAGCCCCGGCUAACUACGUGCCAGCAGCCGCGGUAAUACGUAGGGGGCUAGCGUUGUCCGGAAUCACUGGGCGUAAAGGGUUCGCAGGCGGAAAUGCAAGUCAGGUGUAAAAGGCAGUAGCUUAACUACUGUAAGCAUUUGAAACUGCAUAUCUUGAGAAGAGUAGAGGUAAGUGGAAUUUUUAGUGUAGCGGUGAAAUGCGUAGAUAUUAAAAAGAAUACCGGUGGCGAAGGCGACUUACUGGGCUCAUUCUGACGCUGAGGAACGAAAGCGUGGGUAGCAAACAGG
Molecule: ribosomal RNA, 403 nt
Filed under: Verrucomicrobiota bacterium
Lineage: Bacteria; Pseudomonadati; Verrucomicrobiota
Description: Verrucomicrobia bacterium partial 16S ribosomal RNA
Rfam family: Bacterial small subunit ribosomal RNA
Source: RNAcentral